AUGCCCGGCAUGCCGCACGCCUGGUGUUGUGAAGCAUCCGCCAUGAAGAUCUUUCUUCUGCUUGGUCUUAUGAGCCUUACAACUUUUUUGGAUGCAGUAAGCCCAGCUUCUGUUGUUGAACAGGAGGAGGAUGCUGCAGAUGGAGCCACAAUGGAACCCCAGUUGUUUUCAACAUCGUCAUCUUAUAUGGCAGAGGGAUUGGAAGAUGCAAGAACUGAGCUGAACUUCCUGCAAGAACUUGAGACAACAAAUGCAAAUGAAGUGAUAACUACAGUGACAGCUGUGACUGAAACACCAACAACGGGCAUUGUCACCACGAACAAUAUGAAGGCCACAAGGUUUGCAGGAGUUACUACACCUGAAGUGCCACCUGAUGACCAGAAGAUGAAAGCAGACCUUGAACAGAUAGAUUACAACCAAGAUUUUUUCCAUUAUGAUUACCACUUCCUGCGCAAAUGGGGUUUAGUAGCCGCUGCCAUCUUGUUCAUCCUUGGCAUUCUCAUUCUCACCUGCGGUAAACAUGGGAAAUUCCCAAGAUGCCGUGGAAAGAAACGGGCAAGAACCUAUGAUGUGGCCCAGGCCUGAAGCCAUUUCAUAUCCUGAGGAGCAUUGCACUGACACAAGCACACCAUUCAGCAUCACCCUGGAUGUAUCAUAUGGAAGCCUUUCCUAUUCUUCUCCGUGGAAAAAUAGCUGCUUAGCUUCUCUCAACGCCGUCCGCAACAUCCUGUCUAUCUGACCUUCAAUAUAUCUUUCCCCGCUUUUCCUACAACACCUAUUUAAUUUUUUUGGCUCUAUACCUAAGAUAUAUUUCUAUUGAUCUAAUUCCCCUGUAGAAUCAGAAAGUUUGAAAGAAUCGUGGAAUGAACUGUCUUUUUUUUGUGCAGCCUCAGGUUUAGAGAGACUUGAGUUGCCAAGAGAAACCUCAUUGUGAAGUUCUGUUCCAACAAGUCUCAUGUUCUGUACUCACAAUAAUACUUUUGGGUGUGUUUUCCCCCUCCUAUGUUUUCUGGCUUCAUUUCUGUGUUCUUUUGUUAUCCUUUGCAUACGAGGCCAUGAUAAUAUAAAAGGCCUGAAUUGUCACAUAAAUACACACUACCAGAUGAAGUUACGACUGCCUUCAUUUGCACCCAAGGACUCAAAUUCUUGAUUUAAUGAAGACACCCAUGGGAUCAGUAUUUUAACAAUUUGAAAAGUGAGCUCUUUAUACUGGAUACCUUAUAUUAUUCUUUGUAAUGACAAAGAUUCAGUGCCAUCACUUCACUAUCACCACUUUUUGGUAGAAAAUUGUCAAGUCCUAAAUACCCGGUGGCACAGUGUGUUAAAGUGCUGAGCUGCUGAACUUGCAGACCGAAAGGUUACAGGUUCGAAUCCGGGGAGCCGGGUGAGUGCCUGCUGUCAGCUCCAGCUUCUGCCAACCUAGCAGUUCAAAAACAUGCAAAUUUUAUUUAUUUAUUUACAGUAUUUAUAUUCCACCCUUCUCACCCUAAAGGGGACUCAGGGCGGAUCACAAUGCACAUAUACAUGGCAAACAUUCAAUGCCAUUAGAAAUACGACAUAUAUAGAGAGACACAGAGGCAAUUUAACAUUCCAGUUUCCGGCUUCAUGAGGGUAUGCUCAAUUCCAGCCACAGGAGGAGCUGUCGCUUCACCGUCCACUUGUGACACCAAGUCCUUGAUGGAGUACUUCCUCAUUCUUCUGCAGGCUGCAGGAAGGUUUUUUUUAAUGAUGUCAUAAAGCGGUACCUAAAUUUCCUACUCGACAGAUGCAACUGUCUUUCGGGAUGAAUAGGUCAACAGUAAGCUAGACUAUGUGAGUAGAUCAAUAGGUACCGCUCCGGCAGGAAGGUAAUAGCAGUGAAAAUUGCUGUGCAGUGAAAAUACACCCAAGGUUUGGUAUUACAAGUAAACAAACUUCUGUUAAAGGCUAUGGUGUUCUGUAAUGAGGUCCAAAGAGGCAGCUGGAAUCAUACAAUGUGGAAAUUGGCACUGAUUAGCCUAUUAACUCACUGAAAAAUUUGGGUUCUCUAACUGGAAACUACUUGAGAGUUGUACCAGUUGGUGUCCAGUAUAUUUCUCUGAUGUACAUGCAAAUGUGAGUAGAUCAAUAGGUACCGCUCUGGCGAGUAGAUCAUUAGGUACCGCUCUGCCGGCCACAUGACCUUGGAGGUGACUACGGACAACACUGGCUCUUCGGCUUAGAAAUAGAGAUGAGCACCAACCCCCAGAGUUGGACACGACUGGACUUAACAUCUGGGGAAACCUUUACCUUUUUAAAUACCCGAAGGACAGCAGAUCUCAUCUGAGCUUGGAAAUGAAGUGAUGUAAGCCCUGAUUAGUACUUGGAUGAGAAACCACCAAUGAAUACAAGAUGUUUUAGGCUAUAUUUCAGAGGAAGGAAUUGGAAAAACAGCUCUGAGUAUUCCUUGCUAAAGAAAACCCAAUGAAAUUUGUGGAGUUGCAAUAAGUCAAUAGGUGAAUUGAAGGCACAUAAUCGUGACAAGCUUUAUGCCUUUUUUGUAGCGCAAAUGGGUGUGUAACCAUUGUUGUUGUUUAUUCAGUCAGUCACUUACAACUCUUCGUGACCUCAUGGACCAGCCCACGCCAGUGGCCACCCCCAGCUCCUUCAAGGUCAAGCCAAUCACUUCAAGGAUACCAUCCAUCUAUCUUGCCCUUGGUUGGCCCCUCUUCCUUUUUCCUUCCAUUUACCCCAGCAUCAUUCUCUUCUCCAAGCUUUCCUGUCUUCUCAUGAUGUGGCCAAAGUGCUUCAUCUUUGCCUCAUCCUUCCCGCCAGUGAGCAGCCAUUGGGCAUUAUUUCCUGGAGGAUGGACUGGUUGGAUCUUCUUGCGGUCCAAGGCACUCUCAGGAGUUUCCUCCAGCACCAGAGUUCAAAAGCAUCUCUCUUCCUUUGCUCAGCCUUCCUUAUGGUCCAGCUCUCGCAUCCAUAGGUUACUAGGGGGAAUACCAUUGCUUUGACUAUGCGGACCUUUGUUGCCAGUGUGAUGUCUCUGCUUUUCACUAUUUUGUUGAGGCUUAAGGUAAAGGUAAGGUAAAGGUUUCCCCUGACAUUAAGUCCAGUCAUGUCUGACUCUGGGGGUUGGUGCUCAUCUCCAUUUCUAAGCUGAAGAGCCGGCGUUGUCCGUAGACACCUCCAAGGUCAUGUGGCCGGCAUGACUGCAUGGAGCGCCGUUACCUUCUCGCCGGAGCGGUACCUAUUGAUAUACUCACAUUCAGGUAUGUAGCCGGGGGGGAGGGGGGGCUUGAGGGGCUUCAGCCCCCCCCCGGAAAUUCUCAGGGUGGUCCGCAAGAAGGCCUUACAUUUAUUAUUUAAACUGUUAUGUUUAUUCAUAUCAUGAUCUGAUCACCAUGCUCAAUAUAUCCCAUAUGCAUGGGGGUAUUGGGAUAACGAUACAAAAGGUUUGCUAGCGUAGACCCUCUCCCGCUCAGACUCAGUCCCCCCCCCCCCGAACCAAAAUCCCAGCCCCUUACGAAACAAAAUCCUGGCUACGGGCCUGCUGACAUUGGCAUGUUUUCAAACUGCUAGAUUGGCAGAAGCUGGAGCUAACAGCAGGCGCUCACUCCGCUCCCAGGAUUUGAACCUGUGACCUUUCAGUCUGCAAGUUCAGCUCUAACACACUUCACCACCGGGUAUUUAAAAACUCUAAAAUCAGAACAGUAAAUAAGGAACAACACGCUAAAAACAGGGGAAACAAUCAGGGCCAGUUAACUCCCAACAAAGGAUUCCCCCAGGCAGGAAGCAGCCAGGCCUUGAAGCUGCAAGGCUUUUCAAUGCUUAUCAAAUUGGCCAAUUGAAAUAUUCACACUUGUAUCAGGCAGACAAGAGUUCUUUCUCCCACCCUGGACUUUCCACAGAUAUAUAUAAACCCCACUUGCCUAGUUUUCCAACAGACCUCACAACCUCUGAGGAUACCUGCCAUAGAUGUGGGCGAAACGUCAGGAGAGAAUGCUUCUGGAACGUGGCCAUGCAGCAUGGAAAACUCACAUGGAAAACUCACAGCAACCCAAUUCUAGUGCAGUUUAGAGAGCCAUUGGGAGCUUUGGUGGGCAGAAGGACAAGAGAGGCGGCGCCUGGCUUUUUGGCCGGCUCUUCGCCCUCCGGCCUGGGGCCUCUGAACGGGAAGGGCUUCUUCGGAGGGUCGGGAG
This 4163-nucleotide long non-coding RNA is filed under the name Anolis carolinensis (green anole). RNAcentral's name for it is "lncRNA (ENSACAG00000044526.1)". Lineage: Eukaryota; Metazoa; Chordata; Lepidosauria; Squamata; Anolidae. The record is from RNAcentral.